CGGGGCGUAGCGCAGCCUGGUAGCGCGCCUGGUUCGGGACUAGGAGGCCGGAGGUUCAAAUCCUCUCGCCCCGACCA
This 77-nucleotide transfer RNA is filed under the name Blastocatellia bacterium. RNAcentral describes it as "tRNA-Pro". It matches the Rfam family "tRNA". From Rfam's summary of the family: Transfer RNA (tRNA) molecules are approximately 80 nucleotides in length. Their secondary structure includes four short double-helical elements and three loops (D, anti-codon, and T loops). The record is from RNAcentral. Lineage: Bacteria; Pseudomonadati; Acidobacteriota; Blastocatellia.